UUUAAACCUAGCCACACCCAGAAUCUUUAUACCUAACUAUUAUCUGAACCCUGUAAGCUAGGCUUUAGGUUGGGGUGACCGCGGAGUAAAACAAAACCUCCGCAAUGAACGAAACUACCGUCUUAUCUAAGAAUAACCCCUCUAAGAAUUAGCACUCUAACAUAAAUGAUCCAAUUAUUGAUCAACGGACCAAGUUACCCUGGGGAUAACAGCGCAAUCCACUUCAAGAGCUCCUAUCGA
Molecule: ribosomal RNA, 240 nt
Filed under: Gephyromantis luteus
Lineage: Eukaryota; Metazoa; Chordata; Amphibia; Anura; Mantellidae
Description: partial 16S ribosomal RNA
Source: RNAcentral